This 253-nucleotide ribosomal RNA is filed under the name uncultured bacterium. RNAcentral describes it as "partial 16S ribosomal RNA". It matches the Rfam family "Bacterial small subunit ribosomal RNA", at positions 524 to 776 of the family's 1533-position model. The record is from RNAcentral.
UACGAAGGGAGCUAGCGUUGUUCGGAAUCACUGGGCGUAAAGCGCACGUAGGCGGAUUUGCCAGUCAGGGGUGAAAUCCCGGGGCUCAACCUCGGAACUGCCUUUGAUACAGCAAGUCUUGAGUUCGAGAGAGGUGGGUGGAAUUCCUAGUGUAGAGGUGAAAUUCGUAGAUAUUAGGAAGAACACCGGUGGCGAAGGCGGCCCACUGGCUCGACACUGACGCUGAGGAACGAAAGCCAGGGGAGCGAACGGG